This 512-nucleotide ribosomal RNA is filed under the name uncultured bacterium. Its description in RNAcentral is "bacterial SSU rRNA". It matches the Rfam family "Bacterial small subunit ribosomal RNA", at positions 336 to 865 of the family's 1533-position model. The record is from RNAcentral.
CUCCUACGGGAGGCAGCAGUGGGGAAUCUUGCGCAAUGGACGAAAGUCUGACGCAGCCAUGCCGCGUGAAUGAUGAAGGUCUUAGGAUUGUAAAGUUCUUUAGCCUGUGACGAUGAUGACGGUAACAGGAGAAUAAGCCCCGGCUAACUUCGUGCCAGCAGCCGCGGUAAUACGAAGGGGGCUAGCGUUGUUCGGAAUUACUGGGCGUAAAGCGCGCGUAGGCGGUUAUGCAAGCCAGAGGUGAAAUGCCUGAGCUCAACUUAGGAAUUGCCUUUGGAACUGCAUGGCUUUGAGGACGAGAGAGGUGAGUGGAAUUCCCAGUGUAGAGGUGAAAUUCGUAGAUAUUGGGAAGAACACCGGUGGCGAAGGCGGCUCACUGGCUCGUUUCUGACGCUGUAGCGCGAAAGCGUGGGGAUCAAACAGGAUUAGAUACCCUGGUAGUCCACGCUGUAAACGAUGAGUGCUAGGCGUCGGCACGCUUGCGUGUCGGUGCCGCAGCUAACGCGUGAAGC